AUUUUGUGAUGUACAUUCUAAAUUUCUAAAUGUUCUAAGAGUUCAAAGAAGCAAAAGCAGACUAUAGUGUGUUCGGAGGGGCUUAUAGAAUGUACCUGUCUGGAGCAGAAGUGUAGCAUUAUUUUAACGGUACAAGCAAGGGAGAGCUGAUUAGGAUCCUUGCUGAGUUUGAGAAUCCAGUGCUGGAUUUAUCCUACCUUCCUUAUGCAAGCUACACCCAGAGUAAAUAGCUGAGAGAGAUUUUCCUAUCAUACACAAAUGCAGAGGGUAUGAUAGGAUAUUACCAUUUACAAAGGCUAAUGAAAUAAUAAUGCUACGCCUGUCCCAUGGCUGUUAAAAAUCAGUAAGUAAAAUUGCUGAUGGGCAAGUAUUGAAUUCGGGGAUCAGACUUACCACCUGGACCCAGUGACCAAACUGACUGCCACUUUGUAAGAAAUGAGGAUACAGAGGAAUACAUUAAAUUAGCACAGGUAAGUAGUAAAAUUUAUAGUGGAAAACUGUCCUGGAUAAAUGAUGUGACUUUUUAAAAACAAAUUGCAAGAAAAAAUGGGAGGAGAAACUUAGAGAUUGAAAUGAAUUUAAAGAUAUAUAUCAGCCAAUUGCAAUGUGUAGAUCUUGAGUUGACCAGUCACCAGAAAACAUUUACAAGACAAUUGAGGUAAUUUAAAUAGUACUUAAUUGCUAAACCAGGUGUGAGGGCAUCCCUGUAGUCCCAGCACUCCAGAGUCUGAGGCGGGAGGAUUGCUGGGAUUUAAAGGCCUGCCUGAAGUAGUGAGACCUUGCCUCAAACCCCACACCCCAAAAAGGUUAUUUCUUAUAGUAGCAUUGUGGUUUUUUGUUUAAAUCUUUAUCUUUUAGGAAAUACAUAUUAACAGAAUUUACUGAUAAGUGAUAUGAUGUAUGGACUUUACUUCAUGCUUCAAAAUAAUCUACCAAAGUGGAGGAAUGUACAGUGCAAACACUACACAUAAAAGAAACUUGACUAGUAUUUUACUGAUGUUGGGUAAUGGCUAUAAGGGAGUUCUUUAUAGUGUUCUGCUUUUUAUAUACAUUUGAAAUGGUCCAUUGUAUCAGUGCUUAUUACAGAAACAGAUAUAAUGCAAGAUAUAAAAAUAUAUAGGAAUUUACAAGAUUGGCUUACAAUCGCCACUCACAGUCAGGCUUGGAAGAGAGCAAAAGGUCUGUCUGUGCCCUGGAGAGCCGAAGGAUCCAGUUGGAGGCCUGGAGCUCACUGUAGUGUCCUGUGGGAGUAUGUAUCAGGAGGCCAAAAGGUCUGCACUGGAAGGCUGAAGAGUCUGUGCUGGAAGCACAGCUGGAGAAAGUGUCCAAGGUGAAGGCUAAGACUGGAGCUCCUCGAAAGAAACAGAAGUGAGCCUGCCUUCUUUUCCCUUUAUACCAUUCAGGUGACAAGCUGCCCUGGAGUGGGUCUUCUGUCCUCAGUAAAUCCUGCAGCCACACCCAGAACUAUGCUGAUCCAAUUUAGUUGGGCAUUUCUUACUCAAGUUGACACAAUCAGUUAACUAUCACAGACAUAAUAAAAAUUUAACAAAGAAAACAUUGAGAGAUUGCUGUGGUUGAGAUAGAAAAAGAAAAUUAGAACACACAAAAACAUUUAAGAUCAGUAAGAUAAGUUGUUUUUCCAGCAUCCUCCAAGCCACUUUGAAAUAACUACUUGAGCUGUCACAGAAUCAAUCUAUUUUUCUUCUAAUCCAGAUCAUAUUGUUGACAUAAAAUAGAAGUCAUACAUACCCACAAGAGGAUACCAUUGUUUAAGUAUAUCUACCAUAAUUAGAACUAAGAAUAAUGGAUGUAUUUAGAACUUGUACUAGGUAUUUUGCAUGUAUAAAAUACUUUAAUAUUAUCCUGUUAAACUUAAUUUCCCAUUUUAAAUAUUGAUAUUUGCUAGUUCCACAGUCUUAUAAGUAUGCCUUAUUAGCAUAUUUUUAAAAAAUUUUAAGCUAAAUCAGCUUACUGAAAAAACUACUACUUUUGUUUUCUGGCUUGAGCUGUUUUUCCUAAGUUAGGUUUUUCUUCUUUUUCUCUUGCUUAUUAUUCCUCCUCAGUGAAACUUAGAACCCUUUGAGCAACAUCCGUCCGUACACACAGAAGCCCUUAGUAAUCACCAUUCUACUUUCUGCCUCUAUAAGUUUAGCAUUUUAAGAUUCCAUGUAUACAAUCAUGCAGUAUUUGUCUUUUUGUGCCCAGGUAGGACACUUAACCUUGAUGUCCUUCAGGUUCAUCUAUGUUGUAAAUGUCAGAACAUUUUUCCUUUUAAAUGAUCAAUUGUAACAAUUGUUCCAACUAUUUUAUUAUUAAUAAACAUGUUUCUUUUCUUUUUUUUUUUUGGUACCAGGGAUCGAACUCGGGUCCUUGCGCUUGUGCAGCAGGUGGCGAAACCACUGAGCUAAAUCCCCAGCCCAAUAGACUUGCUUCUAUUUAAAGAUUCCUUCACUUUUUCUUCUCCUUUUGCUGUGUUUUAUCAAUAUGGUAUUUAGGUAACCAGUAAUAGUUAACAUUUAGCAAUUAGUUGUGCUUCUAUAUAUGCACUAUUAUUACUCUAAUGAUCAAAUAUUUAAGUGAGUGAUGUUGAUUUGGAUAUAUUAGCAUUACUGCAGUGGUUAAAAAAAUAAUUUUCUGUGUGUCAAAAGAAACAAUGCUUUGGCAUUUUACUGAGCAGAAAUCUUGCUACUGAAUGCCUACCAUGUGCUGGGCAUACACAUACAUAUAAAUAGCAGUUUUGAAUAAAGAAACUUUAUUGGAGCUUUGUUGCAUUUAUAAGAGAAUUCUUUUAUUAGAAAUACUGUCACUAUUAAGUAAUUUGUAUUUCAAAGCAUACAUCCCAAUGACUUUAAUACCUCUUACUCUGUGUGUACUUAGUAAAUCCCUGGCUAGACUCAUUAGACUUUGAACUUAGCUGUGACCUUAUCUACUAAACACAGGCGUUUUCUAUUCUAACCCUGGGAUUUCUUUUGUCUUAGAGGAACAGUCAUAACAGCUAUUCACAUAGAUGUUGCAACUGUUAGCACCUUUAGAGUUCUCUGUUUCCCUAGGUAUUCUCUCUCCAACUCUUACCCCUUCGCUCUGUAAGACCUAGCAGUGGCUCCAGCAGCUAAGAAGUAAAUGGACAUUCCUGCCAGCUGUCUCCCUUCCUCACCACACCAACAGAGUCCCUGUGGAAGAAGCUUGAAUGAAAGCUAGUGACAAAAGAACCAGACAAGAAAACAGGUGUCUGAAAACAGGAGAGCAACAGUAAUGGGAAGGCACCGUGAUUCCUCCAAGAGAAGCUCUGCAAAGGUUCACAUCCAAAGCACACCGAGAGGCACUGAAUAAUGCAGCCCUGAAAGGGCAGGGAGCACUUCAAGGUAACGUAGAAAACUGGGCAAUGUAGGGAGGUGCGAGAAGGUCUGUUGGGGAUGGCUGGGCAUCCACAACUAAUUGUGUUCUCCAGGACAAAGUGGGAAGCACUACCUCUUUCUGGAGGGAACUAGAGCUGCUACAGAGACAGCAGGUAAUGUUGAGGGGAGUAAGACAAAAGAGGGGAGGUUUUGUUUAACUGAGGGCAGCUAUCAAUUGUGCAGUCAUAAUUCUGAUCCUGGACAAUGAGCUGUUCAAAGGGAGGAGAAGGAGAUGGGGACAAAAGAAGAGGAAGAAAAAGAAGCAUCCGUGCAGUGGCCUGGGAGGGAGCUGCCCAGUGGGCAAAGGAAUGUAAACGAACGGAGGCCAUGUCUGUUGUGAUGACAGAUGUGUUUCCUGCAGUGUCGGGAGAGCAGCCCAGGAGGAGAAGGCAGAGGGCAAAACUGGACCAUUGGGCCAGAUGCAGGGAAUGCUGCCGCAUCACUGCCAGCUUGAUGUCCCAUGGAGACAAACACCAGCAGAGUUCACGUUGACAUCCUGGGGAGAUUGCACUCAGGAUUGUGAUUUCUUUGUAUCAUAUUGUCACACUGGUGGAGCAGGAUCAUUUAAGCUAAAAACAAAUACACUGGGUUUCAGAGUUUAGUUCUCUUUUAUGAUUCUGUAAUCAUUAUGGUUAGAUAUGCUUAAAGAAAGAUACAUGUGUGUUUUUCCAUCAUUUUCUUUAGAAGACACCUGACUGCUUAUCUUUACUCGGGAGUGAGGUUUAGAAGUGAGACGCAGCCUGCAAUCACAACUCUAGGACCCUGGGAGCACUCAGCAUCGGGUGGAUUAAGUCACCCGUCUUUGUCUUCUCUCCUUCAUGCUGGUAUUCCACCAUGGCUAGUAUAACUCCUGCCCUUUAUCCUUGACCCACUGCUCAUCUUUUAUGAUUCACUGCAGAGGUCAAUAUGUGGGGACAACCUCCCCUGACCCUUACAGACACUGCAAUGCUUUCUCCUCUGAUUUCCCACAGCACACUCUUCUGUCAUGUAAUUAUCUCAUGUGUUACACAUUUAGGGAGCUAGGCACAGGCCCACUGAUCCCUGUGUAAAUGCUAUGGCUUGUAGCCCAAACAAGUCCCUGCCCCUGACAUCCAAAUCCUUUUUUGUUUUUUUGCGGGGAGGUGACUCUUACCUUGUGCUCCACUUUGCUCUUCUAACAGGAUUAAGUGGGCUGCCUUCCUUUCUACUCCAACAGCAUUUGAUGACACCAGGCAGCACUGACAGGCAGGCUGCAUCCCCACCGUGCCAAUACCACCCAGCAGGAUUGCUCUUGCCCACCUUGAUAGGUGGCGGGAAAAUUACUGAUCACCUUCUAGACCCGCAUCAAAGCUUCCUGUAACCUGGCAGUGAAUGAAAUGCACAACCUUCCAACUCAAUGACAUUUAAGGCAACCUCUCAUCGGUUCA
Non-coding RNA from Heterocephalus glaber (naked mole-rat), 4801 nucleotides. Lineage: Eukaryota; Metazoa; Chordata; Mammalia; Rodentia; Bathyergidae. The record is from RefSeq and is a predicted model, not a curated record.